GAGUUUGAUCCGGCUCAGAUUGAACGCGGCGGCAUGUAACACUGCAAGUCGAACGUGAAACCCGCCGCAGGUGGGAGAGUAAAGUGGCGGACGGGUGAGUAAUACGUAGGAAUCUACCUUAAGUGGGGGGUAAUCCGCGAAAGCGGAGCUAAUACCGCAUAAACUUAGUGUUUAUAGCAUUAAGAAAAGGGGGCUAGCAAUAGCUUUCGCUUUUGGAAGAGCUACGUCGGAUAGCUAGUUGGUAGGGUAAAAGCCUACCAAGGCAACGAUCCGUAGCUGGUUUGAGAGAACGACCAGCCACACUGGGACUGAGAUACGGCCCAGACUCCUACGGGAGGCAGCAGUGGGGAAUAUUGGACAAUGGGCGAAAGCCUGAUCCAGCAAUGCCGCGUGUGUGAUGAAGGCCUGCGGGUUGUAAAGCACUUUCGUUGGGGAAGAAAUGCCUGAAGCUAAUAUCUUCAGGAGUUGACGUUACCCAAAGAAGAAGCACCGGCUAACUCUGUGCCAGCAGCCGCGGUAAUACAGAGGGUGCAAGCGUUAAUCGGAGUUACUGGGCGUAAAGGGCGCGUAGGUGGAUGUCUAAGUCGGAUGUGAAAUCCCCGGGCUUAACCUGGGAAUUGCAUUCGAUACUGGAUAUCUAGAGUAUGGUAGAGGAAAG
This 658-nucleotide ribosomal RNA is filed under the name uncultured bacterium. RNAcentral's name for it is "bacterial SSU rRNA". It matches the Rfam family "Bacterial small subunit ribosomal RNA", at positions 9 to 661 of the family's 1533-position model. The record is from RNAcentral.